UCUCCAAGAAUCUUCCCAACACAAGGAUCGAAUCCACGUCUCUUAAGCCUCCUUCAUUGGCAGGACUCCACUGUCAUUCACUUUGGUGACAAGCUAGUGGUGACAAAGAUAGCUGAGAAGAAGAGUCAGCCAAGAGUACAUUUCCUAUAAAGCACUUGAUCAGGGACAUCUGUCUUCUGUCUCUAGAACCUUCGGAACAGAAGAUAACAGCGACAAGGAAAGACUGAGAAACUUCUACUUGGAAGAGAUUAAGGAAAAAUAACAGCUUUAUGCAAAAUGGGAUUCUGGAUGGAGUCCUGGAACAGAAUAGGCUCAUUCAUGGAAAAACAAGCAGAAUUCAAUCAAAUGCCAGUUUGGAAACACUAACUUCCUGGAUUUGAUCAUUGUUAAUUGUACCAUCAUUACGUAAGAUGUGAGUAUCAAGGACGCUGGUUGACAGGGAUCAAACUGCUCCACCUUCCCCAUUGCAGUGGAAGUGUGACAUCCUACUCACUGGACCUCCAGAGAAUUCCCAUAUUUCAAAUCCGGUUUUCAAGUCUGGAACCAGUGUAGGUAAUGGAAAGAAUAUGAAUUUUGUGACCCUGUGAAGCAAUCAUUUCUAAUCCCAGCUCUGCUGUGAAAAGCCGUGCCACCUCGAAUAAGUCCCUGAGGCCUUUUGUUUAUUGAUCUAUAAAAUAGAAGUCAAAACACAGCAUUCCCUGUUUUACUGUAAGAACACACCACCUCAAUCAGUUCUGAAAACUAGAGAACUGCGAUUUCUCCAGCUAGUUCCAUGUCAAGGGCGAGUUCCUCUCCAAAUAGACUAGAGGCUUCUUUUGCCCCGGCUUCCAUGAAUAUCAAGCACAACCCCUCCGUAUUUUGUCAGGGAAACGGAACACUGCCUUUUAUAAGAGAGCGCCUGAGUGGCAGGCUGCCCGGCUCCCUGUGGGCUCUCCCUGUGCUUCCUCUAGGCUUGUAUUGAUAUCUGCAUGCAAAUGUUGGCUCAGCUCCCCCUUUGCAGGCAAUAGAUUGCUUCUGCUGAAGCUGCCAGUGCAAUAUUUUGAAAAUAGACAUCCACUUCUAGAAGAAAAGAGAUCCAAAUAAGGUUUUUUUCUUUAACAUUAAAAAUCAUUAGAAUAUCAGGGUCUUUCAGGUCAGCAUGAAUUUUGAAGCUGUUCCAUAAGUCCCUCUUGUCAGGACCACCCAUUGGUAUAGAGGCAAGUGUCUUUUGGGGGAAAAAAAAAAAAUCGGUCGAGAUGCUCAUGUCUGGGCAAAGAAUAUGGACCAGGUCUAGCCAAGCGCUCUAAGCUUUUCAGUUUCACACUCUUAACCUUGUGUUCCAGGGGGCUCAGUAGUAAAGAAUCCGCCUACCAACGCAGGAGACUCAAGAGACAUGGGUUUGAUCCCUGGGUCAGAAAGAUCCCCUGGAGGAGGAAAUGGCAACUCAUUCCAUUAUUCCUGCCUGGAAAUAUUCCAUGAACAGAGGAGCCUGGAAAGGAAACAGCCCAUGCGGUUGCAAAGCGCCAGACACGACUUAGUGACUGAACACAAUCUUGUGUUACAGGUUGAGUCUCAUCUUCCCCAAAUUCACGUGUUGAGGUAUCAGCCCCUAGUCCCACAGAACGUGGACUUAUUUGGAAAUAGUCUUCACAGAUAUAAUGAGUUACGAUGAAGUCAUACUGAAGUAGAAGGGGCCGACAUCUGACAUGGCUAUGCCCUUAUAAAAAGGGGAAAUAUUUACCCAGACAUGUUCACAAGGAGAAGGGAAGAUGAAGGCAGAGAUUAGGGUGAUGCUUGUAACAAGCCGGGGAACACCAGAGAUCAUCAGCAAAACACCAGAAGCCAGGGGAGAGGCUCUGAGGUCCCUUCCCAGGGCUCCCUCAGAGCCCUGGGAAGGGACCCAUCCCCACCAGCAUCUUCAUCUGGGGCCUUCAGCCUCCACACUGAGACGCUACAUCUCCGUUGUUUAAAUUGUCCAGCCUGUGGUACUUUGUUACAGCGGCUCUGGAAAAUGAAUACCCUUUGGAAGUGCCUAACGGUCCUGGAAGUGAAAGACUGUGACAGGGGAAGGGCACCCACAGAAAUCAUUCAGUGUGAUCAUUUCAUGAUUCAUGAAGAAAUAGUAUCUGGAAUCUUCCUCCAAUACUUAGAGGGGAGGGGUUGACUAAGAAGACUUGGCUCCUGGUUACCAGGUGGUGUGCCUUUUUGCUACUUGGCUGUACUGUUAGUGAGGAGAUACAUGGGGAAAGGUUAAUGUCAUUCAAUAUAAACAUGCCAUCAACCUAGAAAAAUUCAGACUUCCUGUUCAGUCCACGGAGGCGUAGAGGCACCCUACCCAACCCUGUCCGGACUUUUCCUAGGUGUGUGCCUGCCCCUCUUAUGAGUCCUGAGCAGGCUAUCCUGCUUCUCAGAGAAGCUGUAACUAGAAGGCUCCUCCCCCAGAUUCUCAGAUGUCCCUUUCACUUUCUUUCAGUCUUUGCUCAAAUACCACUGUUUCUCCCUUCCUUAU
Molecule: long non-coding RNA, 2488 nt
Organism: Bubalus bubalis (water buffalo)
Lineage: Eukaryota; Metazoa; Chordata; Mammalia; Artiodactyla; Bovidae
Exons: 5
Source: RefSeq, a predicted model, not a curated record